GAUGAACGCUGGCGGCGUGCCUAAUACAUGCAAGUCGAGCGAACAGAUAAGGAGCUUGCUCCUUUGACGUUAGCGGCGGACGGGUGAGUAACACGUGGAUAACCUACCUAUAAGACUGGGAUAACUUCGGGCAACCGGAGCUAAUACCGGAUAACAUAUUGAACCGCAUGGUUCAAUAGUGAAAGGCGGCUUUGCUGUCCCUUAUAGAUGGAUCCGCGCCGUAUUAGCUAGUUGGUAAGGUAACGGCUUACCAAGGCAACGAUACGUAGCCGACCUGAGAGGGUGAUCGGCCACACGGGAACUGAGACGCGCGCCAGACGCCUACGGGAGGCAGCAGUAGGGAAUCUUCCGCAACGGGCGGAAGCCUGACGGAGCACCGCCGCGUGAGGGAUGAAGGUCUUCGGAGCGUAAAACUCUGUUAUCAGGGAAGAACAAAUGUGUAAGUAACUGUGCACAUCUUGACGGUACCUGAGCAGAAAGCCACGGCUAACUACGUG
RNAcentral lists this ribosomal RNA (497 nucleotides) under uncultured bacterium. RNAcentral describes it as "partial 16S ribosomal RNA". It matches the Rfam family "Bacterial small subunit ribosomal RNA", at positions 28 to 507 of the family's 1533-position model. The record is from RNAcentral.